GUCCACCUGAUGAGUUUCAAAUAGGACGAAACGCGCGUUCUGGAU
RNAcentral lists this non-coding RNA (45 nucleotides) under Schistosoma mansoni. Lineage: Eukaryota; Metazoa; Platyhelminthes; Trematoda; Strigeidida; Schistosomatidae. The record is from RNAcentral.